RNAcentral lists this long non-coding RNA (447 nucleotides) under Vombatus ursinus (common wombat). RNAcentral's name for it is "lncRNA (ENSVURG00010020216.1)". Lineage: Eukaryota; Metazoa; Chordata; Mammalia; Diprotodontia; Vombatidae. The record is from RNAcentral.
CCCGCCGCCCCAAGUUAGCCGGAGUUGCUCGUGGCUGCGCGCGGUACUCGGCUCGGCUCGGCUCGGCUCGACUCUGCUCCGGGUCUGUCUGCUCUGACGCUGGAUCCUUGGGAAUCCCGAGGACUCUGCUGCCUUCCAGCACACACGGAGGAUGGCUCAGGACAUGCUUCUGCCUCCCAAGAGCCUCCUUGUCUGUGACCAGCUGGAAGGAGAGAGCCAGGUCAGAACUCUGGCCCCCCGGGAGUGAGCCUGCUGCUGGCCUGCUGGGAUGUGUCUUAGUGCAGCCCUCCCCAGCGAUGUCGCUGACCUGGGCCGAGGCACCCAGUCUUUACUCUGGCUGUCGGGAGAACCUUUCCUUCACUGCCAGCCCCAGGGCUCUGAACAGUGGCUAAGCUUCUCAGGGCUGGCUCUUCAGAGAUGCGCUGCGCCUUCAGGAGGACUGUAGAA